This 209-nucleotide long non-coding RNA is filed under the name Panax ginseng (ginseng). Its description in RNAcentral is "long non-coding RNA (PGIN_LNC001601)". The record is from RNAcentral. Lineage: Eukaryota; Viridiplantae; Streptophyta; Magnoliopsida; Apiales; Araliaceae.
AAAAGACUAAACUCUGUUUUUUAAAAAGUUAAAAUUAAUUUGUACAAAAAAUCCUAUCACACCCCCAUCUAUUUUUGUAAACAAACAUAGCCAUUUUAAUAAACAUAUCCCUAGCCCUAGUGUUUUUAAUAUCUCCACCUUGCUAGCAGUCUCUCAUCGGAACCUUGUGAAAAUAUAAACACCUCCUGUGGAAAUAAAACUUGCUUUUC